CCCCUGGCAAUCUAAUGGCUAGGAUUCCUAGUUUUCAUCCAGGUUACCCAGGUUCAAUUCUUGGGCAGGGAA
RNAcentral lists this transfer RNA (72 nucleotides) under Bos taurus (domestic cattle). It matches the Rfam family "tRNA". Rfam says of the family: Transfer RNA (tRNA) molecules are approximately 80 nucleotides in length. Their secondary structure includes four short double-helical elements and three loops (D, anti-codon, and T loops). Lineage: Eukaryota; Metazoa; Chordata; Mammalia; Artiodactyla; Bovidae. RNAcentral also lists the same sequence under 5 other names. The record is from Rfam by way of RNAcentral.